Molecule: ribosomal RNA, 253 nt
Filed under: uncultured bacterium
Lineage: Bacteria
Description: partial 16S ribosomal RNA
Rfam family: Bacterial small subunit ribosomal RNA
Source: RNAcentral
UACGUAGGGGGCGAGCGUUGUCCGGAUUUAUUGGGCGUAAAGAGCGUGUAGGCGGCCAGGUAGGUCCGUUGUGAAAACUCGAGGCUCAACCUCGAGACGUCGGCGGAAACCAUCUGGCUAGAGUCCGGAAGAGGAGAGUGGAAUUCCUGGUGUAGCGGUGAAAUGCGCAGAUAUCAGGAAGAACACCUAUGGCGAAGGCAGCACUCUGGGACGGUACUGACGCUGAGACGCGAAAGCGUGGGGAGCGAACAGG